UAUACCUCGGUUCUGUCUACUCUCUUCUUCUCAAUAAGGUUUUCUCGAAUUCAUCUUUACAAUCGAAUUUCUCUCAAGAAAAACUGUAAAUCAGCUUCAGAUUCUAUUCCAAUUCCAAUGUCUCAUCCCAGCAAAAAUGCUGCUGGAGUUGACAACACUUUUCGGAGGAAGUUCGAUAGAGAAGAGUAUUUGGAACGUGCUCGUGAGUGCGAACAAAAGGAGACAAAAUCUCGGUAUUAAUCCAAAUGUAA
Non-coding RNA from Camellia sinensis, 251 nucleotides. NCBI's taxonomy places the organism in Eukaryota, Viridiplantae, Streptophyta, Magnoliopsida, Ericales, Theaceae. The record is from RefSeq and is a predicted model, not a curated record.